GGUGGUGUAGCUCUGGGGUAGAGGGCUCGCUUCGCAUGCGAAUGUUCUGGGGUUGCAUUCCCCAUGUCACCG
RNAcentral lists this transfer RNA (72 nucleotides) under Angiostrongylus costaricensis. It matches the Rfam family "tRNA". From Rfam's summary of the family: Transfer RNA (tRNA) molecules are approximately 80 nucleotides in length. Their secondary structure includes four short double-helical elements and three loops (D, anti-codon, and T loops). The record is from Rfam by way of RNAcentral. Lineage: Eukaryota; Metazoa; Nematoda; Chromadorea; Rhabditida; Metastrongylidae.